RNAcentral lists this ribosomal RNA (509 nucleotides) under uncultured bacterium. Its description in RNAcentral is "bacterial SSU rRNA". It matches the Rfam family "Bacterial small subunit ribosomal RNA", at positions 24 to 518 of the family's 1533-position model. The record is from RNAcentral.
UCAGAUUGAACGCUGGCGGCGUGCUUAACACAUGCAAGUCGCGCGUGAAAGGACUUCGGUCCGAGUAAAGCGGCGCACGGGUGAGUAACGCGUGGAUGAUCUACCCAUGAGUUAGGAAUAACGGCUGGAAACGGUCGCUAAUACCAAAUACGCUCCGAUUUCAACUUCGGGGGAAAGGUGGCCUCUGCUUGCAAGCUACUGCUCAUGGAUGAGUCCGCGUCCCAUUAGCUAGUUGGUGGGGUAACGGCCCACCAAGGCGACGAUGGGUAGCCGGUCUGAGAGGAUGACCGGCCACACUGGGACUGGAACACGGCCCAGACUCCUACGGGAGGCAGCAGUGGGGAAUAUUGCGCAAUGGGCGAAAGCCUGACGCAGCGACGCCGCGUGAGGGAUGAAGGUCCUCGGAUCGUAAACCUCUGUCAGGAGGGAAGAACCGCCACGGUGCUAAUCAGCCGUGGUCUGACGGUACCUCCAAAGGAAGCACCGGCUAACUCCGUGCCAGCAGCGGC